Anguilla rostrata (American eel) is the source of this 703-nucleotide long non-coding RNA. RefSeq lists it as uncharacterized. The record is from RefSeq and is a predicted model, not a curated record. The transcript has 2 exons. Lineage: Eukaryota; Metazoa; Chordata; Actinopteri; Anguilliformes; Anguillidae.
UUAUUAGUAUUUUAUUUACAAAUUUAUGUAUUAAAUCAUGUAUUUCUAAAUCAGCCUAUUUAUUUGUGAAUCUAUUGUUGUCACUUCCUAACACACAAAGUAACAGCUGCAGUAACAGACUAUGCUAGCGAAUGAAAAGAGCUCCUUUUAGUAGCUAGUAAAAGGGUAUAGCGACAGUUGCCUAUCACAUUGUGGAGCAGAAGGUAGAUAAUCUGUCUGAGCUGUAAACAGGCAGGAACAAAUAUUAAUGUCUGUUUAUUUUCAUGUAAACAGUCAUGAAUUUUUUUUUUUUUAAAAACAUGCCAUUUUUGAAGAGCCAUGAAGAUAAAAUAGAACUGUGAGACAGUGAGUUCUGAAAUAGAGGCACAUUAGCUGCAGACAGAGAGAAAUGUAUCACUCUUUGUUAUGCUAGAACACAAAAGGCAAUAGAUGAAAUAAAGCACGAAGAUAACCAGACGUGUCUGUGCCAUUUUUUUUUCAGUUAUAAUCAAAUUCUACACAGUUCAAAAAAAAAAAACCCAGACGCACAACCACAAGCUACAGAGCUUACAACAGCGUACCACAAAAUAUACAAUAUGCCAUGAAGAAAAAAGCACACACAAUGUUCCAUAAAACAAGACAGGAAUCCUAAUGGAAAAAUAUCAAUUCCUUCUUCUUUUCUUCAUCUUCUCUAUACCACUGAUAAAGGCCAAAAAAAAAUAAA